RNAcentral lists this ribosomal RNA (656 nucleotides) under Alistipes sp. RNAcentral describes it as "bacterial SSU rRNA". It matches the Rfam family "Bacterial small subunit ribosomal RNA", at positions 1 to 647 of the family's 1533-position model. Lineage: Bacteria; Pseudomonadati; Bacteroidota; Bacteroidia; Bacteroidales; Rikenellaceae. The record is from RNAcentral.
ACAAUGGAGAGUUUGAUCCUGUCUCAGGAUGAACGCUAGCGUCAGGCUUAAAACAUGCAAGUCGAGGUGCAGCAUAAACAUUGCUUGCAAUGUUUGAUGGCGACCGGCGCACGGGUGCGUAACGCGUAUGUAACCUACCUCAAACAGGGGCAUAACACUGAGAAAUUGGUACUAAUUCCCCAUAACACCUGAUAGGGCAUCCUAUUUGGUUGAAAGUUCCGGCGGUUUGAGAUGGACAUGCGUUGUAUUAGCUAGUUGGUGAGGUAACGGCUCUCCAAGGCGACGAUACAUAGGGGGACUGAGAUGUUAACCCCCCACAUUGGUACUGAGACACUGAACAGACUCCUACGGGAGGCAGCAGUGAGGAAUAUUGGUCAAUGGACGCAAGUCUGAACCAGCCAUGCCGCGUGCAGGAAGACGGCUCUAUGAGUUGUAAACUGCUUUUAUGCGAGGGUAAACUUGGGUACGCGUACCCAACUGAAAGUAUCGCAAGAAUAAGGAUCGGCUAACUCCGUGCCAGCAGCCGCGGUAAUACGGAGGACCCAAGCGUUAUCCGGAUUUAUUGGGAUUAAAGGGUGCGUAGGCGGUUUGGUAAGUUAGAUGUGAAAUUUUUAGCCUCAACCUAGACAUUGCCUCUGAUACUGACGAGCUAGAGA